Ochotona princeps (American pika) is the source of this 191-nucleotide small nuclear RNA. RefSeq annotates it as U2 spliceosomal RNA. NCBI's taxonomy places the organism in Eukaryota, Metazoa, Chordata, Mammalia, Lagomorpha, Ochotonidae. The transcript has a single exon. The record is from RefSeq and is a predicted model, not a curated record.
AUCGCUUCUUGGCCUUUUGGCUAAUUUCAAGUGUAGUAUCUGUUUUUAUCAGUUUAACAUCUGAUACUUCCUCUAUUCCAGGACAAAAUAUUAAGUGGAUUUUUGGAGCCUGGAAUUGGAAUAGAAACUUGCUCUGUCCACUCUGUGCAUCGACCUGGUGUUGCAGUACCUCCAGGAACAGUGCAUGCCCU